This 497-nucleotide ribosomal RNA is filed under the name uncultured bacterium. RNAcentral describes it as "partial 16S ribosomal RNA". It matches the Rfam family "Bacterial small subunit ribosomal RNA", at positions 28 to 507 of the family's 1533-position model. The record is from RNAcentral.
GAUGAACGCUGGCGGCGUGCCUAAUACAUGCAAGUCGAGCGAACGGACGAGAAGCUUGCUUUUCUGAUGUUAGCGGCGGACGGGUGAGUAACACGUGGAUAACCUACCUAUAAGACUGGGAUAACUUCGGGAAACCGGAGCUAAUACCGGAUAAUAUCUUGAACCGCAUGGUUCAAAAGUGAAAGACGGUCUUGCUGUCCCUUAUAGAUGGAUCCGCUCUGCAUUAGCUAGUUGGUAAGGUAACGGCUUACCAAGGCAACGAUGCAUAGCCGACCUGAGAGGGGGAUCGGCCACACGGGAACGGAGACACGGUCCAGACUCCUACGGGAGGCACCAGUAGGGAAUCCUCCGCAAUGGGCGAAAGCCUGACGGAGCAACGCCGCGUGAGUGAUGAAGGUCUUCGGAUCGUAAAACUCUGUUAUUAGGGAAGAACAUAUGUGUAAGUAACUGUGCACAUCUUGACGGUACCUAAUCAGAAAGCCACGGCUAACUACGUG